Molecule: transfer RNA, 78 nt
Filed under: Rickettsiales bacterium
Lineage: Bacteria; Pseudomonadati; Pseudomonadota; Alphaproteobacteria; Rickettsiales
Description: tRNA-Pro
Rfam family: tRNA
About the family: Transfer RNA (tRNA) molecules are approximately 80 nucleotides in length. Their secondary structure includes four short double-helical elements and three loops (D, anti-codon, and T loops).
Source: RNAcentral
CGGGGCGUGGCGCAGCCUGGUUAGCGCGUCCGUCUGGGGGACGGGAGGUCGCUGGUUCGAAUCCAGUCGCCCCGACCA